This 253-nucleotide ribosomal RNA is filed under the name uncultured bacterium. RNAcentral describes it as "partial 16S ribosomal RNA". It matches the Rfam family "Bacterial small subunit ribosomal RNA", at positions 524 to 776 of the family's 1533-position model. The record is from RNAcentral.
UACGGAGGGUGCGAGCGUUGUCCGGAUUUACUGGGCGUAAAGAGCGCGCAGGCGGUCGAUCAAGUCGCGUGUGAAAGCCCCCGGCUCAACUGGGGAGGGUCACGCGAUACUGAUCGACUCGAAGGCAGGAGAGGGUAGUGGAGUUCCCGGUGUAGUGGUGAAAUGCGUAGAUAUCGGGAGGAACACCAGUGGCGAAGGCGACUACCUGGCCUGUUCUUGACGCUGAGGCGCGAAAGCUAGGGGAGCAAACGGG